GAUGAAGAACGCAGCGAAAGUGCGAAACGUAAUGUGAAUUGCAGAAUUCAGUGAAUCAUCGAAUCUUUGAACGCACAUUGCGCCCCUUGGUAUUCCGAGGGGCAUGCCUGUUCGAGCGUCAUUAUAACCCCUCAAGCUCAGCUUGGUGUUGGGGCCUGCUGCACUGGCAGCCCUUAAAAUCAGUGGCGGCGCCAUCUGGCUCUAAGCGUAGUAAUUCUUCUCGCUAUGGAGUCCUGGUGGAUGCUUGCCAUCAACCCCCAAUUUUUCUAUGGUUGACCUCGGAUCAGGUAGGGAUACCCGCUGAACUUAAGCAUAUCAAUAAGCGGAGGA
RNAcentral lists this unclassified non-coding RNA (330 nucleotides) under soil metagenome. RNAcentral's name for it is "partial contains 5.8S ribosomal RNA, internal transcribed spacer 2, and large subunit ribosomal RNA". The stretch from base 1 to 121 matches the Rfam family "5.8S ribosomal RNA", at positions 35 to 154 of the family's 154-position model. The record is from RNAcentral.